Molecule: long non-coding RNA, 639 nt
Filed under: Vulpes vulpes (red fox)
Lineage: Eukaryota; Metazoa; Chordata; Mammalia; Carnivora; Canidae
Description: lncRNA (ENSVVUG00000006559.1)
Source: RNAcentral
AUGGUUCAAAAUAGUCUCUCUUUCCUGAGGGCUAAAGUACACCAGUACAUGGGACAGAAUUCAGAACUCUGCGGAAGAGCUGCUGUCCUGAGAGCUGAUGUCACAUCGCUGUGGCAUAGAACAUGGGGCUGGGCAGUGGCUGUGCUUCAAAAGCAAGUUCUUCAACCUUGGAUCUUAAUUCCUUCUAACAAGGGUGCCUAUGACAUGCUUGACGUCAAGAUCCUGAUUGCCAUUGGUGGCAGCUUAUUGAUUGUCACAAUUGUGCUGAUGGCUGUGGUCCUCUGUCUUUACUACAAACUAUUCCGCACAUUAAAGGCUUCCAAGGCGUCUGUUCCUCAGGCCACCAGCAGUAAUAAUCAAAUCACAAAGACCCAGGCCACAGUCUCCACUGAGUCCUAUCCCAGCCUCAAGUGCUAUGACCAGUGCAAAGCGUGUAUCAACUACAAUCCCCCGCCACCGUGCUACUAUGAUAUAAACGAGGGACUCUGACUUGGGUGGACACAAAUACCUUCAUGUGCAGUAUUUCUUUUCCAGUAGAAUUUAUUAUUCAAGUCAGGGUCAAGUAGUGUUUACAUCAUAUUAUGUGCUAUUUAACAUUAUAUUUAUGUACUUCUGAAUAAAUGUGCAAUACUGAAAACA